RNAcentral lists this ribosomal RNA (882 nucleotides) under Peniophorella praetermissa. RNAcentral describes it as "eukaryotic LSU rRNA". It matches the Rfam family "Eukaryotic large subunit ribosomal RNA", at positions 62 to 961 of the family's 3401-position model. The record is from RNAcentral. Lineage: Eukaryota; Fungi; Basidiomycota; Agaricomycetes; Hymenochaetales.
AAACUAACAAGGAUUCCCCUAGUAACUGCGAGUGAAGCGGGAAGAGCUCAAAUUUAAAAUCUGGCGGUUCUGCCGUCCGAGUUGUAAUCUGGAGAAGCGUUUUCUGUGCUGGACCGUGCAUAAGUGUCUUGGAAUAGGACGUCAUAGAGGGUGAGAAUCCCGUCUUUGGCACGGACUACCAGUGCUCUGUGAUACGCUCUCAAAGAGUCGAGUUGUUUGGGAAUGCAGCUCAAAAUGGGUGGUAAAUUCCAUCUAAAGCUAAAUAUAGGCGAGAGACCGAUAGCGAACAAGUACCGUGAGGGAAAGAUGAAAAGCACUUUGGAAAGAGAGUUAAACAGUACGUGAAAUUGUUGAAAGGGAAACGCUUGAAGUCAGUCGCGUUGUCCAGGACUCAACCUUAGUUUUCUUUGGUGUAUUUCCUGGUUAACGGGUCAACAUCAAUUUUGAUCGGUGGACAAAGGCAGAGGGAAUGUGGCACCUUCGGGUGUGUUAUAGCCCCUUGUCAUAUACACCGGUUGGGAUUGAGGAUAUCACGCCCUCGGCGGUAGGAUGUUGACAUAAUGGCUUUAAGCGACCCGUCUUGAAACACGGACCAAGGAGUCUAACAUGCCUGCGAGUGUUAGGGUGGUAAACCCUUGCGCGUAAUGAAAGUGAAAGUUGGGACCUCUUUGAGGGCACCGACGCCCGGCCUUGAACUCUUGUGACGGUGCUGCGGUAGAGCAUGUAUGUUGGGACCCGAAAGAUGGUGAACUAUGCCUGAAUAGGGCGAAGCCAGAGGAAACUCUGGUGGAGGCUCGUAGCGAUUCUGACGUGCAAAUCGAUCGUCAAAUUUGGGUAUAGGGGCGAAAGACUAAUCGAACCAUNNUAGUAGCUGGUUCCNGN